CACAGACUUCUUCAUGUUCUGGAACUAAGAUAGCAGGAGGCAGGCAGGCAGGCACCCAUGGGAACUCCACACGCCCACCCGAAUCUUCCUGCCUAGGAAAUAAACCAUACCAACAGCAAGAGCUUGGGUUAGUCAAAGUAGAAAGUGAGGAGGUUAUACUCAAAUAAAGUGAUACCGACUUCUAUUUUAAGAUUUUGCUAGGAAAGUAGUGAGUUUCAAAAGAUGACAUACAUAGGACUUUUUGACAAAAAAAGGAAAAUCUCCACUUUAGCAGAGGAGCAAUGCUAGAUGUGGAGUCAGCAGGGACACGGUUUAAAUUCUAUUCCAAAUCAACCAUCUCUGUGACCUCUGGCAAGUCAGUUAAAUCUCCUUGAACUGCAAUUUCUUCACAAUAUCUGAAAAGCCUAUCUGGCAGGGUUGUUGUGAAGUAAAAUGUUUUUAAAAACUUAAAGUGAAAUGUAAAAGUGAAUUUAAUACUGAAAAAUAGGCAUUUUUUUUGGUUGGAAUUGCAAUUUGAUUGGGAUAUGGUUAGGGAAUUUGUCAGAGAAAUAAGUAUCUUUUUCUGCAAUUUGUAGGCUUAGAGAGUUGUCAUUUUAGAGCAUUAAAUGCAUGCAAUAGGUCAGGUGCUGCUCUGAGUGGCAGGUAUAGAAACAAAGUCUACAAUGCGGUCCUUCCCUUUAAGUUGCUCAUCAAGAUGAGUUCUGCACUAUAUUAAAUAGAAGUACACCUGCACAGCUUUGAGGGAUUGGGAUGAGAGGUGAACAAGUGAUUUCCUCAAGGUCACAUAGUCAAUAUGUGUCCAAGAUAGAAUUUGAACUCAGGUCUAUCCUGAUUCUGAAGUUCAUUCUAUUCAUUUAGGCCAUGCUCCCUCACUAGGGAUACUGCCAUGAAAACCAAGGCUUCAGACAAAAUAUCUUUGUGAAAACCCUCAGUAAUUGAGCAGAAGUCACUCUCACAGUAGACUCCUCAAACCUUUCAGCUUGCCUUCUUCAUAUUCCUCAACUUACCUAAUCAUUCUAAUUCUGUGAUGAAUCCCAGAACCAGCGCUUUGGGAAUAGCCAUGAAAGCUAGAAGAUAAUGCUUCACAUAAAAAAAAAAAUAUAUUUUAACUUCCAUUUUAGAAUCAAUAAUAUGCAAGACAAGAACAGGAAGGGCUAGGCAAUGGGGUUUGGGGCAUAAGUGACUUGCACAGGGUCAUACAGCUAGGAAAUAUGUAAGGCCAAAUUUGAAACAAGGACUUCCUACCUCUGGGCCUGACUCUUUAUCUACUGAGCCACACAGCUGCCCUGAAGCUUCAUACUUAAUCAUCACACUAGAAUUUGGUUCCCAGCCAUCUACAGUUUUUUGACUAUAUGGAAAAGAAAUGAAAUAUAGUCUAUUUGACCCCUGAAGACAGAACUAGGAACAAUCAGUGGACAUUACAAAGACAAAGGGUAAUUUACCUCUCAACUAGGAUAGUUGGAAGGAAAAUAUUUAACAAGGAAAAUGAACUCCAAAGCAAAUGAGGAAAGAAUAAAACCACUGAGCUACUUUCAAAAAGUUCAAGUCAACAGACAUUUGAUAUCUGUUACUUUUCUUCCUGUUCAUGGAACCUGAUGAAGGUCUCAAGGUGAAGUCUGGUCUUGUCACAAUGCCUAGGGUACAGGGGAAGAGAGGCCUAAAUUCUGUAGACCCUUAGCUUACAGCUCUUCAAAGCACUUCACACACAUUGCCUAUUGUUUCUAAAAAAAGAAGGUAAGGUUUUCUUUUUUUUUCUUUUUCAUCUAUACUAUGUAUCAAUUCCAAGGAAGGAGAAUGGUAAGUCAAUUGCAGGUAAGUGAUUUGCUCAGGGUCACACAGCUAAAAAGUAUCUGAGGCUAGAUUUGAACUAGGGCUUUCCAAACUUCUGGGCUGGCUCUCUAUCAACUGAGCCACCUAGUUGCACCUAGAAUUGAGUUCUAUUGCUAAUUCUUGGGUCCACUCGUGCAGUUCUGUUGCUUGGAAGAUAUGCAGAUUGAGUUCAAGGUAAGAGAUUCAGAAUUUUGAAAAAUUGUUUGCUAUAUUAGUUCGUUGAGCUUUUACCUAGUUUGGAUUAUUGGUGUCGUGUAGAAUAGAGACAUCUGGAACUGUGAUAUCUCUCUUGCAUAAUUCCUGUUUUGGUGAGGUUUAAGGGCUAAUGAGGAUUAGAGGAAAUAUCUGCUUCUCUGCUCAUCUGUCAUGUGACCUGGAAGUUUAGUAGUCUAAUUGGUCUUCUGGUCUCAAGACUCUCUUCACUCUAAUUCACCCUCAGAAUACCUACUGAGGUGAUUUUUCUAAAGUGUAGGUCUAACUGUAUCACUCCCCUUGCUCUAAAAAUGCUAAUGGAUCCAUAUUAAUUAUAAGGAUGAAUAAGACUUUUUUGGUUGAAUUAAAGCCCUUCACAAUCUUGUACCAAUAUGUCUUUUCAAAUAUUGUUAUAUAUUACUAGUCUUCUCAUAACCUUUGGUACAGCCCAACUGGUUAUUCUGUUCCUCACAUAUAACAUUCCAUCAUCUCUACCCUUUUAUCAUCUGUCUUCUUUACCUGGAAUGUACAACUUCCUCAUCAUCAUCUCUUAGAAUACAUACCUUGUUUCUUUCAAAAUUCAUUUCAAGCAUAAUCCUCUACAUUAAAAUUUUUUUGAUCUCUUUUAAUUGCUAGUGCUCUUCUUUCCAAAAUUACUCAUUUCAAUUUUGCAUAUAUUUUAUGUCAUUAAAUACAUACAUAUAAUCUUCCCUUAUCAAAAGUUAGCUCCUUGAGAGGAGAGAUGAUUUCAUUGUUGUCUUUAUAAUCCCUGCUAGCACAGAACUUGGCAUAUAGCAAACUGUUAGCAAUUCUAUGUUGUUUUAUUGAUUGGAGGUAAUAAGAAGCACUCUAAUAGGGCAGAAUAUUUACUUUGUGAAUGGCACUGUUCUAAGGAUAAAUGUAAAUACUUACAUAGUGCAAAAAACAUUGAUCUUAUGGCUGAUUAAAAGAUAGCCAUAGCAUUUCUAAGAUUUACCAUUCUAAUAACCUUAUCCAAAAAGAGAAAUUAUCUUCAUUUAGUCAGAUUUGUUGGUGAAAAUAUGUUAACUUUUUUGACUACUUCUUCAAUUUCUUGACGUUCACUAACAUUUCUUUUUCUAUGUUCUUGGUUUCUCUCCCCCUCACCUCUUACAAAACAAAACUGAAGUCAAGAUCACUGGUGUAUUUAUGCCCAUUUGCUAUUUUUUAAAUGGUGAUGAUGAAUGCCUUUCUCAAGUUCUUUAUAUGCCUCUUGAGUCUCCAUAAUCUCUCAAAGAUCACUGACAAUAGUUUAGCAGCCAUGUCCAUAUUUUUUGCGUGUCUAAGGAUGUGGUUCAUUAGAGUCUGGGGACUUGAAUUCAUCAAGGGCAGUGAAGCAAUCUCCAACUAUCUCCAUAUUCAACUUGUACAUUUCUUAUUAGCCAUUGUCAUUCUGUUUUUUGUAGUUCAAAGAUUAUUUUCCUUGGUGGAAAUAGAAAGUAAUACAGAAAUUGAACAACUCUCUUUCAUCCAUAUCAAUUAAUGUUCUUCAAUGCUCCCCCAGGAACAGUCUGAUCCCUUUAUUUUCUUAGGAUAUCUAAGAAACAAUCAAAAAUCCAUUUUCUGUUGUCCUUAAUGUUCUUGCCAGUUUUGACUCAUUCUCUGCUAGUACUCCUUAUACUAUGCUUACUGAAUCAUGCAGUGUUUUCAUAUUCAUCCUCUGUUGUCUACCCCUGCUUCCACCUACUGAACAUAUCAUUUUCAAAUUUAAGUUCACUGGUGAAUCCUUGAACCCUCACAAUAAUAUUUUAAGCUACUUUUCUUUAUCCUCAACAUUGGAAUUGUUUCUUUUUUGUAUUAUGACCAUUUCCUUCCUAAAACUUUCUCGUGACUCCUGAACAGAAUCUCUCUGUAUCACUUUAGUACAUAGCAUUCUACUAAUUUUUUCUUUAAACCCUUUUAAAUUAAAGUCUCUACCAAAACAUAGGGCAAUUCAUUUUAUGCUCAAGUCAUAUUUUCUUCUCUAUCACCAAUUCUAAGCAGGAAUAGCCACUUCUUCCUUAAAGUCUGCCUAAAGACUAGUUUUCCCUUAUUGGUGAGAAUGAGAUCCAAAAUAUCAGUUCCCUUCAUGGAUUCCUCUACCUUUCAAAGGAUAAAAUCAUCAUUUAAACAAAAAGGGUGACAGACAGACAGAUUGGAUGAGAAGUGGAGAUGAAGAGACAGAAAAAGAUUGAGAGGAGAGUAGUAAUAUCUAGAUAAUCAAUAGUUUUCAUCAUUAUUACAUUGUAUCUGUCAGACUUGCAAAAUUUCCCAGAUUGCUUAUGUGCUUCUUUCUUCUGUCUAAGUAGUCUUGUAUACCCAAAGUUUAAUAUUAUUUGACUUCCUUCCUUCCUUCCUUCCUUCCUUCCUUCCUUCCUUCCUUCCUUCCUUCCUUCCUUCCUUCCUUCCUUCCUUCCUUCCUUCUUUACUUACUUCCACAUUUUUUCUAGUAGGACUGCAUCUGGGGUAUGCUAUAGGCAUUUGACAAGUCAUAGGGAUCUCUUCCAUGUCCUAGAUAUAUGCCCUGAGAAGAUGUAUAGUUCCCCAAUGUCAUUACAAAGUUGAUAAUUAACUGUCUCAUUUCUCUUCAGCAUAAUUUCCAAGCUUUACUACUAAUCUCUUCUUCUGACCCUUUAGUUAUGAUCUCUCAACUGAUAGUGACUGUCAGUCUGAAUCAUCAUUUCUUAGAAGAUAAAUAACUUCUUCCUCUUCAGAGGAUCUAUCCCUUCUUCCAGAAGGGAUUCGUUCAUAUAUAUACAUAUUACUUUCAAGCAUUGGAUGGUUUUUCCAUUUUCCUUUAUAUGAAAUUCAUCAAUUUUGCAAUUAUAUGAAAAGUAUUUCCUUAUGACUCAGAUCUUUUUUCCUUCAUUGUUUUCCUGUUGAAACUUUUCUUUUAUGUUUUAAAAGAAAAAAAAUACACAUAAUUGUGCCUGAAAAGUAUUCGAGAGAAGUUUUCAUACCCCUUCUUUCUUCUUCAACAAGAGAACAACCUGAACAGUAUUAGUAUCAAUUACUAAUCCCUGGGGAUAAUGUAUGCAUUCUUCACUUUAUGUAGAGUACUACAAAAUUCUUCCAGCUCUUCAUAGUUGCUUGAAGGGACUUCAUUCUGAACCAUUUAUGUAUCACUUUAAGGUUUGUAAAGCAAUUUAUACAUGCUAGCUAAUUCAAUCUCCCACGUCUGUGACUUUCAGAUUAGGAAACUAAUGCUCAGAAUGUUAUGUGACUUGCCCAGGGUCACACAGUUAGAAAGCAACUGAAGACAGGAUUUUCAUUCUGACUCCAAGUCCCAUGCUCUAUCCACUGUAUUACAGAGUUGCUAAAGGAAUUUAAAAAAUUAAGUUUACUGUUUAAAUAUGAUCCAGAGGAAAUAUGAGCUAUUAUUUGAACACUGAAUUAAAUAGUAUUGAUAUCCUAAGUAAAAUAUGUAUGGCUGAGGGAAUCUCUUUAGAGAACAAGAAUGCCACCGAUUGCAGAUGACAUGAUGUUUGCUUCAAACAUUGAAAAAUUCCAGGAUUUCUUAAAUGAAAUCCAAAACUAUCCCAAAGGCAUUAAUCCAAAAGAAAAAGUAAUUGGAUGAUGGGUGACUGUUGCACCAACCAUGAUAUACAAUUUAGAUGUACAAUGUAUAUGUACAAGUCAUAUACUCAUACACUGGAUAGGCACUGUAUCUCAGUGAAUCACUGGACCUAGAAUUAAGCAAGAGAAGAGUGGGAUGGAUUUGUUUGGAGGAAAUUGAACAGAUAUUUAAAUAAUUGCAAUAAUCUUCCUGAUACAAAGGUUUAUCUUCUUAACGCUGAUAUUCUUUUAGUCUGGAAUAGUAUGCCUAUGGUCUUUAUUUCUAGGAGAGACUGAGACCAGUGGAUUAGUUGAACUCAAAAGUUUUGAGCUGCGGUGGACUAAGCCAUUUGGGUGUCUGUACUAAUUCCAGCACCAGUAUGAUUAUUUCCUCAGUAGUAGAGGUCAUUAGGCUAAUUAAGGAUGGGCAAACUGGCCUAUGUCAACAAUAAAGCAGAUGAAAGUGCAUAUGUCAAUCAGCAAGGGGAUCAGGCUCAUGAACAAUGACUGAACUUCUAGCUUAGGUGAGAGAAGGAGAUCCAAUUAAAAAAAAAACCCAAUACAAAACAAAAUUAAUCUUAUGUUAUGUACUGAAAGAGAGGGAAUAAAAUAGCCUUUAAAGAAUUAUGCUUCUUGGCCACCCAAAGGUACACUGAGGAGGUGAUGGUGGGUGCAUGUAAGUAGAUUGAAAUAUAUUACCAACAAUGAAUCGUACAGGAGAAGUAAUAUAAAGGUUAUCAUCGGUAAAAUGUAUGGACAGAAAAGGAGACAGAAUGGCCAUAUAAAAAAGUGAGACUUAGCUGAUGUGGAAAACCCAUCUAUUUUAUUGGUUAAUAUCAAGAGAUCUAGAGCAAGGCUUUUUUAAGGGAGGCUUCAUGAAUAUAUAUAUAUAUAUAUAUAUACAUACACACA
This is a non-coding RNA of Monodelphis domestica (gray short-tailed opossum), 6486 nucleotides long. NCBI's taxonomy places the organism in Eukaryota, Metazoa, Chordata, Mammalia, Didelphimorphia, Didelphidae. The record is from RefSeq and is a predicted model, not a curated record.